UACGAAGGGGGCAAGCGUUGUUCGGAAUUAUUGGGCGUAAGGGGUGCGUAGGCGGUCUGAUAAGUCAUCUGUGAAAUCUAUGGGCUCAACCCAUAGUCUGCAGGCGAAACUGUCGGGCUUGAGUAUGGGAGAGGUGAGUGGAAUUUCCGGUGUAGCGGUGAAAUGCGUAGAUAUCGGAAGGAACACCUGUGGCGAAAGCGGCUCACUGGACCAUUACUGACGCUGAGACGCGAAAGCGUGGGGAGCGAACAGG
This 253-nucleotide ribosomal RNA is filed under the name uncultured bacterium. RNAcentral's name for it is "partial 16S ribosomal RNA". It matches the Rfam family "Bacterial small subunit ribosomal RNA", at positions 524 to 776 of the family's 1533-position model. The record is from RNAcentral.